GUGCACCAGGCGCGAAUCUUCCACAAUGGGGGAAACCCUGAUGGAGCGACGCCGCGUGCGGGAUGAAGGCCCUAUGGGUUGUAAACCGCUGUUCAGUGGAAAGAACAUCCUCCGGCUGAAUAGGUCGGAGGCCUGACGUUACCACUGCAGAAAUCCCGGCCAACUUCGUGCCAGCAGCCGCGGUAAUACGGGGGGGACGAGCGUUGUCCGGAAUCAUUGGGCGUAAAGGGCGCGUAGGCGGCGAGGAAAGUCGAAUGUGAAAUCUUGCGGCUCAACUGCAAAACUGCGUUUCGAAACUUCCUCGCUUGAGUAUGAGAGAGGUGUGCGGAAUCCCUGGUGUAGCGGUGGAAUGCGUAGA
This 358-nucleotide ribosomal RNA is filed under the name uncultured microorganism. Its description in RNAcentral is "bacterial SSU rRNA". It matches the Rfam family "Bacterial small subunit ribosomal RNA", at positions 346 to 694 of the family's 1533-position model. The record is from RNAcentral.